UUGCUUCUUUGCUGACGAGUGGCGGACGGGUGAGUAAUGUCUGGGAAACUGCCUGAUGGAGGGGGAUAACUACUGGAAACGGUAGCUAAUACCGCAUAACGUCGCAAGACCAAAGAGGGGGACCUUCGGGCCUCUUGCCAUCGGAUGUGCCCAGAUGGGAUUAGCUAGUAGGUGGGGUAACGGCUCACCUAGGCGACGAUCCCUAGCUGGUCUGAGAGGAUGACCAGCCACACUGGAACUGAGACACGGUCCAGACUCCUACGGGAGGCAGCAGUGGGGAAUAUUGCACAAUGGGCGCAAGCCUGAUGCAGCCAUGCCGCGUGUAUGAAGAAGGCCUUCGGGUUGUAAAGUACUUUCAGCGGGGAGGAAGGGAGUAAAGUUAAUACCUUUGCUCAUUGACGUUACCCGCAGAAGAAGCACCGGCUAACUCCGUGCCAGCAGCCGCGGUAAUACGGAGGGUGCAAGCGUUAAUCGG
Molecule: ribosomal RNA, 475 nt
Filed under: uncultured bacterium
Lineage: Bacteria
Description: bacterial SSU rRNA
Rfam family: Bacterial small subunit ribosomal RNA
Source: RNAcentral